Molecule: long non-coding RNA, 1538 nt
Filed under: Physeter macrocephalus (sperm whale)
Lineage: Eukaryota; Metazoa; Chordata; Mammalia; Artiodactyla; Physeteridae
Description: Physeter catodon (sperm whale) lncRNA (ENSPCTG00005006553.1)
Source: RNAcentral
CAGGGUAGAAAUAGAAGCAGUUGGCAUGAAUGGCCCUAAAUGUGAACAGCCAGUAAGCAGGAGAGGAGUAAACACUAGAAGGGAUGAUAGGUAGGUUGAAGAAGGAGGUCCUCAGAGGAAAGAGGACCAACCAAGGUAUAAGUGAACAUGGAGGAGCCCCAAGGAAUCAUGCUGACAGUGUCCUUCCUAAUUCAAGGAGCAAAGACCCUGUGCCUGGGAAUAGCAGUCACAGUGUCUGAUAUUUAUUUAGGGCAAGUGACCAGCGCGAUCUCACAGAGCACAAAUCCUCAGACCACGACCAGAGUCACAGCCAUUCUGACAAUUCACCUAACAAGAUUGACGAAGUUGCAUAUUCUGCCCUGAACUUCAAUGCCCAGGAAUCAAAGAAACCAACUUCAGCCUCCCCAUCAGCCACAGAAACAGUUUAUUCAGAAGUGAAAAAUAAGUAAUGCAACCAGUCCUGCUCGCUGCACUUAUUCCAAGCUUCUCAUCCCCAUCCCUAGGAGAUCCCUUUGCCAUCCGGGGAAAAUGGGAAUAGUGUCUUUCCCCGCCCUUUCGCCCCUAAUGAGGCUCCUCCAGGCUGCCUGGUCACAGUCCUUUCCUUCAGUGUCAGUAGAUGAAAAGGUACAUCCAGGAGGAGGUCUGUAGGAAACCCAACCUUCCUUGUCAUUGAACUUUGUCAAAGCACACCUUGGGAGAGAGUUGCCAGAACCUCCACGCCUCCCCAUUUCCUGACCUAAACUGGUUUUAAACUUGCCUAUUCAGAACACACUCAUUCCUUCCCACCCCAGUCCUUUCAUAUUGGAGUUUAACUUGAAUUUGCCAUAACCUGGAAAUUAUGUCCUUGAUCCACUGAAAUGCAUGUGCCAGAAAAGGAGAGGAAAAGGAAAAACUUCUCCUGCUCUCUGAAGCCCGGUGUGAACCCACCAUUCACAGGAAAACACAUACAUAACCAAUUCUGAACUGGGAAAUUCUAUACCUUUGUCCACUUUCAGGGUCGUCUACCUGCAGGACCAGGGCUAAACAACUUACUACUUAGCUAGAAUACCACCUAAACCUUUGAAAGCCUGUCUUCAGAGAACCUACUAGAAGCAACUAGAAAACAACUUCUCAAAGUCCAUAAGUGAAUCCUAAUGGAAAUUGCAAAAAAUGCACAUACUGUUUUAAUAACUUUAUGGGCUCAUUAAAGGAAAUGCUCAGAGAUGGAGGGAUUAUCGCUUUAGAAGACAAUCAGCUCUUAACAGAGACAAUCUGCUGGGAUUUGGGAAAGGAAUCAGAAAGUUACCCUGCAGAGAUUAUUUAAAUAAUGGUUAAAGAAUGUACAAUUUGGGGUAUUGGGUUUUUUCCUUCCUUCUGAGACAUUCGCCAUUUAAAUUUUUGUAAUUGUUUGUUUAUGUGAAAGGGGUUAUGUUUACUUAAUUUGCUGUGUAAGCCAAUCUGACUGCCUUAGGUGAAAGAAGACACCAAAACCCCUCAAGUCCCUCUGGCCAGGAGCUCCUCAAGCCUUUUAUGUCAGGGGCUCCAAAAAGAAGAUAAGA